AACGAACGCUGGCGGCAUGCCUAACACAUGCAAGUCGAACGAAGCCUUCGGGCUUAGUGGCGCACGGGUGCGUAACGCGUGGGAAUCUGCCCCCUCGGUUCGGAAUAACAGUUAGAAAUGACUGCUAAUACCGGAUGAUGACGAAAGUCCAAAGAUUUAUCGCCGAGGGAUGAGCCCGCGUAGGAUUAGCUUGUUGGUGGGGUAAUGGCCCACCAAGGCGACGAUCCUUAGCUGGUCUGAGAGGAUGAUCAGCCACACUGGGACUGAGACACGGCCCAGACUCCUACGGGAGGCAGCAGUGGGGAAUAUUGGACAAUGGGCGAAAGCCUGAUCCAGCAAUGCCGCGUGAGUGAUGAAGGCCUUAGGGUUGUAAAGCUCUUUUACCAGGGAUGAUAAUGACAGUACCUGGAGAAUAAGCUCCGGCUAACUCCGUG
RNAcentral lists this ribosomal RNA (434 nucleotides) under uncultured bacterium. Its description in RNAcentral is "bacterial SSU rRNA". It matches the Rfam family "Bacterial small subunit ribosomal RNA", at positions 29 to 507 of the family's 1533-position model. The record is from RNAcentral.